UACAGAGACCUCAAGCGUUAUCCGGAUUUAUUGGGCGUAAAGAGCAUGUAGGCGGAUAUAUUAGUCAGAUGUCAAAUCUUCGAGCUCAACUCGAAAACUGCAUUUGAAACGGUAUAUCUUGAGAGAGUGAGAGACUAAUGGAACAUAUGGUGUAGCAGUGAAAUGCGUUGAUAUCAUAUGGAACACCAAAGGCGAAGGCAUUUAGUUGGCACUCUUCUGACGCUGAGAUGCGAAAGCGUGGGUAGCGAAUGGG
Molecule: ribosomal RNA, 253 nt
Filed under: uncultured bacterium
Lineage: Bacteria
Description: partial 16S ribosomal RNA
Rfam family: Bacterial small subunit ribosomal RNA
Source: RNAcentral